Molecule: ribosomal RNA, 253 nt
Filed under: uncultured bacterium
Lineage: Bacteria
Description: partial 16S ribosomal RNA
Rfam family: Bacterial small subunit ribosomal RNA
Source: RNAcentral
UACGUAGGGUGCAAGCGUUAAUCGGAAUUAUUGGGCGUAAAGGGCGCGUAGGCGGGAUGGCAAGUCGGUCGUGAAAUCCCUCGGCUCAACCGAGGAACGUCGAUCGAUACUGCUGUUCUUGAGGAUUGCAGAGGAGACUGGAAUUCCCGGUGUAGCGGUGAAAUGUGUAGAGAUCGGGAGGAACACCGGUGGCGAAGGCGGGUCUCUGGGCAAUUCCUGACGCUGAGGCGCGAAAGCGUGGGGAGCAAACGGG